This 253-nucleotide ribosomal RNA is filed under the name uncultured bacterium. RNAcentral describes it as "partial 16S ribosomal RNA". It matches the Rfam family "Bacterial small subunit ribosomal RNA", at positions 524 to 776 of the family's 1533-position model. The record is from RNAcentral.
UACGGAGGGGGCUAGCGUUGUUCGGAAUUACUGGGCGUAAAGCGCACGUAGGCGGCUUUGUAAGUUAGAGGUGAAAGCCCGGGGCUCAACCCCGGAGGUGCAUCCGAAACUCUGGGGCUGGAGGUCGGAAGAGGAGGGUGGAAUACCCAGUGUAGAGGUGAAAUUCGUAGAUAUCGGGAGGAAUACCAGCGGCGAAGGCGGCCUUCUGGACGGUGACUGACGCUGAGACGCGAAAGCGUGGGGAGCAAACAGG